AGAAUCAACGCUGGCGGCGUGCCUAACACAUGCAAGUCGCACGAGAAAGGGGAGCAAUCCCUGAGUACAGUGGCGCACGGGUGAGUAACACGUGAAUAAUCUACCUCCGAGUGGGGAAUAACUGAGAGAAAUCUUAGCUAAUACCGCAUAAUACCCACGGGUCAAAGCAGUAAUGCGCUUGGAGAGGAGUUCGCGGCAGAUUAGUUAGUUGGCGGGGUAAUGGCCCACCAAGACGAUGAUCUGUAUCCGGCCUGAGAGGGCGCACGGACACACUGGAACUGAAACACGGUCCAGACUCCUACGGAGGCAGCAGUGGGAAUUUUGCGCAAUGGGGGAAACCCUGACGCAGCAACGCCGCGUGGAGGAUGAAGCCCCUUGGGUGUAAACUCCUUUCGAUCGGGAAGAUAAUGACGGUACCGAUAUAAGAAGCCCCGGCUAACUUCGUGCCAGCAGCCGC
RNAcentral lists this ribosomal RNA (457 nucleotides) under uncultured bacterium. RNAcentral describes it as "SSU rRNA". It matches the Rfam family "Bacterial small subunit ribosomal RNA", at positions 26 to 518 of the family's 1533-position model. The record is from RNAcentral.